Molecule: ribosomal RNA, 457 nt
Filed under: uncultured bacterium
Lineage: Bacteria
Description: bacterial SSU rRNA
Rfam family: Bacterial small subunit ribosomal RNA
Source: RNAcentral
ACUCCUACGGGAGGCAGCAGUGGGGAAUAUUGCACAAUGGGGGAAACCCUGAUGCAGCCAUGCCGCGUGUGUGAAGAAGGCCUUCGGGUUGUAAAGCACUUUCAGUAGGGAGGAAGGUAGUGUAGUUAACACCUGCACUAUUUGACGUUACCUACAGAAGAAGCACCGGCUAACUCCGUGCCAGCAGCCGCGGUAAUACGGAGGGUGCGAGCGUUAAUCGGAAUUACUGGGCGUAAAGCGCAUGCAGGCGGCCUGUUAAGUCAGAUGUGAAAGCCCGGGGCUUAACCUCGGAAUUGCAUUUGAACUGGCAGGCUAGAGUCUUGUAGAGGGGGUAGAUUUCAGGUGUAGCGGUGAAAUGCGUAGAGAUCUGAAGGAAUACCAGUGGCGAAGGCGGCCCCCUGGACAAGACUGACGCUCAGAUGCGAAAGCGUGGGGAGCAAACAGGAUUAGAUACCCU